AAGUGUUAAACCUCUUUUAGAAUUUGUCUAGCACCUUUUCCAACUAAAACCCCC
Molecule: small nuclear RNA, 54 nt
Filed under: Otolemur garnettii (small-eared galago)
Lineage: Eukaryota; Metazoa; Chordata; Mammalia; Primates; Galagidae
Description: U7 small nuclear RNA
Rfam family: U7 small nuclear RNA
About the family: Animal histone pre-mRNAs are spliced by a different mechanism than nuclear pre-mRNAs and self-splicing introns. This processing involves the U7 snRNP, which contains only one RNA species: U7.
Source: Rfam by way of RNAcentral